This 226-nucleotide ribosomal RNA is filed under the name uncultured bacterium. Its description in RNAcentral is "partial 16S rRNA". It matches the Rfam family "Bacterial small subunit ribosomal RNA", at positions 505 to 730 of the family's 1533-position model. The record is from RNAcentral.
GUGCCAGCCGCCGCGGUAAUACGUAGGGAGCAAGCGUUGUCCGGAUUUACUGGGUGUAAAGGGUGCGUAGGCGGCACUGCAAGUCAGGCGUGAAAUAUAUGGGCUUAACCCAUAGACUGCGUUUGAAACUGUGGUGCUUGAGUGAAGUAGAGGUAGGCGGAAUUCCCGGUGUAGCGGUGAAAUGCGUAGAGAUCGGGAGGAACACCAGUGGCGAAGGCGGCUUACU